ACGAACGCUGGCGGCGUGCUUAACACAUGCAAGUCGAGCGAUGAAGUUCCCUUCGGGGAACGGAUUAGCGGCGGACGGGUGAGUAACACGUGGGCAACCUGCCUUAAAGUGGGGGAUAGCCCUCCGAAAGGAGGAGUAAUACCGCAUAACGUAGUUUUAUCGCAUGAUGAGAUUACCAAAGGAGUAAUCCGCUUUAAGAUGGGCCCGCGGCGCAUUAGCUAGUUGGUGAGGUAGAGGCUCACCAAGGCGACGAUGCGUAGCCGACCUGAGAGGGUGAUCGGCCACAUUGGGACUGAGACACGGCCCAGACUCCUACGGGAGGCAGCAGUGGGGAAUAUUGCGCAAUGGGGGAAACCCUGACGCAGCAACGCCGCGUGGGUGAUGAAGGUCUUCGGAUUGUAAAGCCCUGUCUUCUGGGACGAUAAUGACGGUACCAGAGGAGGAAGCCACGGCUAACUACGUGCCAGCCGCCGCCGUAAAAC
RNAcentral lists this ribosomal RNA (482 nucleotides) under uncultured bacterium. Its description in RNAcentral is "bacterial SSU rRNA". It matches the Rfam family "Bacterial small subunit ribosomal RNA", at positions 29 to 526 of the family's 1533-position model. The record is from RNAcentral.